This 4270-nucleotide long non-coding RNA is filed under the name Homo sapiens (human). Its description in RNAcentral is "HSALNT0034634". The record is from RNAcentral. Lineage: Eukaryota; Metazoa; Chordata; Mammalia; Primates; Hominidae.
CUUUCACAACACUAACUCUCCAGUCUAACCCCUUCAAAGGAGCUUCCUCUAUCCUCAUAUUUGUGCUUUUUCCUCCACUACUUACUCCCUGACUUUAAAAUAUCCUCCAUCUUCCUUUCCACCUAUGUGAAUUCAACCUGUCCUCUAAGAUCCAACUCAAGUUCUAUUGCCCUCCCUUCAGUGAUUUUUCUUCUCUCUGAGAAUACGGUAUUCUCUGUUGUCUAUUGUCUGUACCUCACAUUUGCCUCACAACCUUUGUUGCCUCUCCCAUGCAAUCCCCAAGGGAUGCUAUUUUUCUAACUGAUUAGGUUCCAGCAAUAGGUGGGGUCACUGUGCUAACUGUGCUAGUGGAGCAAUACUUGCAAAAAUGAAGUGCCCCAGGUGACACUUCUGCCUCUUCCUACCAUGAAGCCAGAAAAUGAUGAGAAUCAAAGCAAGGUUUAAUGAUUGGAGGUCGAAGCAGAGCAAGAAUCUCAGCACGACCAAUUUAGGAAAAAGAUUUUCUAUAUGGUCCAGCCCAGCAACAAAAACUUCAUCACUGGGCCGGUGAAGAUUUGAGAUGGACUAGCACAAAGUACAUCUCACAAGCCUUUCAAAGCUGCUGUUACAUAACCCUCAAGAUUUCCCGAGGUGGAAAGAAGACCUUCAUUCACUUAAAUCAGAACAUCGGUAGACAUUACUUCCCACUUGGAUGAUUGUAGCUUCCUUCAGCAUAAGAGGGUGGAGUGUUAAAAGACAUGAUAUGACAGCUAUUAGGCUCAAUUUCUCUUAUCCUGAAAAAAAUUUGUGAUAAUGAAGUAGCAGUGACACAUACAGUACAGGCUAUGUGUAUUCACUUGCAGAGGAGGAGACUCCAAAUGUUUCAGACAUACCAGAUGCAUAUGAUGUUCCCCCAGGACUCUCUCAAAAGUUUUCUUUGUGUCAGGUUUCCCUCUCUCCCCUUGAAAACAGAUCUCAUUGUGUUAACCUCUAAGGCAGCCAUUGAAUUCAAUGCUAUCCCAUGGACCACUGUGUUUAGGUCUGCUAAAUAUGGUUUUAGCACAACUGGCAUCACUGACAGCCAGCCAAGAAUUGAUAUAAACCACAGUAGCAUAUCAUGCUAAACAAAAGAGAAGGGAGUAGUGGGAUAUGAUAAUAUCUACAAUAGUAUCGACCAUUUCUCUGUGGAGCUGCUCAUGUGGCCAAACAAGGGUCUGAGAGACAACACAAAACAUGUCUAAAUGUGAUUACUCACUAGCCAGGGGUGACUCUCCUUGAAUCUCAGCAGGAUGAGCGAACACUUUUCUAAGGGCAGAACAGAGAAAAUGGUGGUGAAAGAUGUAGAAUUGAGUUGGAGAUACUACAUUUGAUCCAAGAUAAGAUGAAGAAGAUUCAAAACUCAAGAACUUGAUGAAAAACCCAGUUGACAGGAAAGCUGUGAUAGAAGUAGCCAGAAAGAGCCAGCUUCUGUAGAAAGCUUGGUAACCUGGUAAAAUAGAGAUGAAGGAUGACAAGGAACCCCUACAAAGCCACAAUUCAGAAAGAAAGCGAUAAGACUCAGAAAACCUGCUCCCCUACUUCUCACCUUAAGAAGGGCUACAGAAACUAAGCUUGGAUAAGUUGCAACCUGUUAUGGCUGCUGGCACUUUUCAUUCUAAGAAAUUUCAGGUUGCUUGGGCCUAUGAAAACAGAAGACUUGCAGACUUCUGCCAUUCUAGCAGAUGCAUUUUUGUCAUACUCUCACAUUUCUAAAAUCAGAAAGAGUCUUUUAAUCACUAUGCACCCUUUUAUGGAAAUAUCAUUAAUUCAGUGGUACAUCAUAUUAAUUGCUUUUUAUAAUGGUGACACCAUGGGAUUGAGGGAAUAAUAUCUCAAAACUUCAUUUAUAACUUGGAAGAAUGGUUCUUUGGACUUCAGAUUUCAUUCUUUCCAGUACUAACUGCUACUGUAGCCUCAAGAAAGAAUUGCAAUAACUACAAUAGAGGAGUUAGGCCUAUGCAAAUUUGAGAAGUUUGUAAUAUUUCUUUGACCUUUUUUUCCUGGCAACAAAAUAUAAUUGGCAGUGAUUGGGGGGAGAAGGAGGUGAAUUAUUUAUAUCAGUAUGGUUUUGUCUUCUGUGCUUUAUGGUUUUUAGAGCAAUACUGACACCUCUGUUCAAAUAAAUUAAAUGCCCUUUCCAACAGACUCUCUUGACAAGAAAAAAAAAUACAUAUCUUCAACUCCCCUCUCCCAAAGCAAUCCAGCUGAAGGAACAAAACCCUAAAAGAGUAUAGUAAAAUUCAUCUUUAAUUAACCUGCCACAGGUCCAUAUGACAAACUUUGUCAGAUACAUAAAAUUUGGGUCAAAUCAAAGAUAAGCACAAAAGACUUCCCAUGGUAAGUCCAGUGCAGAGGUCUGAAUAUAAGACAAAAGUUAGAAUAAUGCCCUGAAAAUGACCCUUUUUUGAAACAAUAAGGAUAGGGAGAAAUACAGAAAUUUCCCCCGACUGGAGUAAUUUUGUUUUACUUUUUACAUUGAAAAUUUCAAGAAUAUACAAAAGCAGAUAAAGUCAUGUAAUAAGCCACGUGUCCAUCACCCAGCUUUAACAAUAUUCAAUUAUAAAUGAAGCAGGCAGAGCAGAUGUAGAGAUAUACUAGGUUCUUGGUAGUGGAUCAAUCAUUACAUAAAAUUAGCUUAGCUUCUGUAUUUUUAUUUACACAAACAAUACCCCAAACAAAACAAAAAUUCUAUGGCUAAAGUCAUUGGGUUUCUUAAGUCACAAAAAAAUCCCAAAUGGUAUAAGAUAAGCAGGGUGGAGAAUAUUGGAUAACAAGGAGCAGAGAUCUAAGUUUGCAAUUUUAGAUGAAAGUCAAUAGAGAUAAGUCCAUAGCGUGCAACAAACGUUUGGGAGAUGAGGGCAUUGUAUGGUCACUGGUUUCCCAACAAAGUAAUCUGCUGUCCUCAAGCAAGUGAAAGGAUGAGCUCUAAAGUAGCCGCACACUUCUAAUCAAGGGAGCACACAUAGCCCUGAGGCAGAUGGUAUUUCAAAUUUGGCAAGUGCUAAGAAAGAACUUACCCAAAUUAGAGUUACCAGCUGACAGCUGCUCGUUUUGCCAGUUCUCAAUUCCGCUGCCACCUCCCACGCCCAAGCAAUACAAAAUCUAUCAGAUAUUACAAACCACCAAUACAUAACCUGCCAACACAGGCACUAAAUAGAAAAUGGAAAGUAUCCAAGGAAACAAUGAGAGGAGUUGAGUAGAAUCUUCUAAUGUUUUUCUAGGGCAAAAAUAAUGAUACAGAUAUAGCUUCUUCUAGUCAAAGGUGAAUAAAAAGAACAGACAAUUUAGCCUGGUGUCUCUGUUAAGAUGUGUCAAACAAAAAGAAAGACUUAGAUAUUAUAAGUGAAAAUUAAAUGGAGAGUACAUGUUGUAAUUCGAGAGAUAGAAGAAAGACUUUGUAAAAAGUUUUUUUUUUUUGUAUUAUCAAAAAACAAGAAGCUACCAAUGAAAGGAAGAGAGUAUUGAAAGUAGAAGAUGACAGACUAAAAUGGGAAAAAAAGUUAUGCCAGUGAUAUCCAUUUCUUAUUCUUGAAGUUUUUCAUCUAGCUUCUCUCUCUCUCUCUCCUUCUCUCCCUUUCUCUCUCUCUCUUUGUAUCUCUAUCCUCUCCCUGGAACAUAGUGAACCCAGAAGUCUCUGUAUUCAGUUAGUCUUUUAUUUUAGUUUUAUUUUAUUAUUGCAUGACUAUUUUUAUAUUCUUUUUGUUCUGUGUUCUUUUUCAGUUGUACAAACUACAUCUUCUAGUCUCUGUAGUCUGUAUUAUGUAUGUAUCAUAUUUUACUAAGAAAUAAAAGAAAAACAAAAGACAAAAUUUAUCAUAGGUUUGAAACUAAGGAAGCACUAAGGAAUACACCUAAAAUGGAAAAAAAAAAAAAAAAGAAAAAACAAAAUCAGUGACUUUGAGGACAGGUUUGAGAAGUGUUUAAAAUUCUAUGAAGAAUAAUUUAAAAAGUAAAUAACUUAGUAAAAAAUAUACAGGAAUACCUCAAUCCAGGUAAAAAGAUCAGAUGUUCUACAAAAGAAGGAAAAAAUUAAGUUAUCCUCACUCUUUUUCAUAAAAUAUUAGAUGAAAGAAAGUAAUAGACCCAUUUACAUAAAAAGCUAAAGAAGAAAGUCUGUUCUCACAGACUUUUAUAACCAGCUAAGAUAUCAUUUUUGUAUUAAAAUAGUGGAACGUAAAGAUGUAAAAUUUGUAGCACUCAUAAACUCUGCCACAGGUAUCACGCAGUUUUUUUCCAUAUUCUGGGAGGCAAG